Molecule: non-coding RNA, 2165 nt
Organism: Taeniopygia guttata (zebra finch)
Lineage: Eukaryota; Metazoa; Chordata; Aves; Passeriformes; Estrildidae
Source: RefSeq, a predicted model, not a curated record
CAGGGAUGUUAGUUAUCCUGAUGUGCUCUGUGUGUGGGACAGAUUGGAUUUGCUUCCUUUCUAAGGCAGGAAUUUGGUAUUUGGGGUUUCAUUUGCUGUUAAAGGAUCCUGAGUAGAUUCUUUUCAUUCGAGUUGGUAUAACAAAAUUAUGUGAGAACAUUGGUGUCUGUGACUGAUUUAAACAUGUCUCUGGUUGCAAGAGUCAGCUGUGUUGAGUUCCCAAUGCUGACUGCUGGAGAAAGGCUCCAUUUUCACUGGCAUGAAAAUGGCAGCCAGUGGUGCAGUUACCAAGUCAAAAAUGUAAAAUAUAAUGUAUAAUCUGUUAAACUUUGAAUUUAAAUUCUGUUCAGUUAAAACUCAGAUGUGAAGAGAUUCGGCCAUUAUCUGAAUAGUUCAGAAACCUCUGCUGAAAAUCUUUCCCCUAAUGGUAAAGAGUAUUAGAUAUGAGAUCCAUGUGCUUGCAUCCUGUUCACAUGGAUCCAAUCUCAUAUUUCCUUCAUAUCUGAGGAUUCUUGGGAGGGCCGAGGGAAGGGCAAAGGCUGGGAAGGGUGGGAUUCUAAUCUCUGGGCCUUUUGAAGAUCACCUUUUGGGGUGAUCCUACAGGGAUCCUUUGGAAUGAGUAGCUUAUGCUUUUUGAGGGCACACAUGAUGUUGUGUCACUGUUUUCUAUUUGAUGGGAAAAACCCAGGCAGUUGAUAUUUAUUAUCUUUCACCAAUAAUUGAAGUGUAUGUGUGUAUUUUUAUGUAAAUAAUCCCCAGUGAAAUGCCAGUUCAGAAGGAGCUGAGAUAUAUUAGUGGAUGUUACCAAGUCCUCAGGCUGCAGAACAGAAAGAACCAGGAGAACACUUGAAUAUGAUGAAUAAAAAAUACUCAUCAAAGAAAGGAGGGAUUGCUCCAAGCUCUUAACACAAUGGCAAAGGUAAACAUGAAGACUCUGUAUGCCUUGAAAGCAGUAAAUUAGCUUAAAUUAUCACAUAAGCCCUUACAUUUCAAGAAGGGCUAUGUCUUCCAGUAAAUUAGGGUUAUCAGCUGUGAUGAGUCACCUGGUCUUACAGUACAAAAUAAAAACCACUUAAACUUUUUUGCUGGUUUCAGUCAUAGUAGAAUUUGAUAUAAAUCAGUUGCUCCAUGGAGGACUCAGGCUGUGCUGAGAUUGUUCCCUGGAGCACAGCACUUGGUGUGAUUUGUGUGAGCCAAAUUAGUUAAUUGCUAUUCAAACCUCUGCAGUGGCUUGAUAACUUCAGAGUUGUCACAUCUGUGAAACCAUAAUGCCAGCAGCAGGUGCAUGUAAAGACUGAACACCAUCACUUCAUGCAAAUGUUUGUCUUCUCAGAUGGAGAUUAUUCUGGGAAUUAUAUAAUAGAUUUCCUUUUGGGCUUUUAAUCUGAUAGUAUCUUUCUGCAGUGAGUUCAAGUGUUGUCAGACAGGGAAUUAAGAAUUCACCAUGGUUAUUGAUGCUAGCCUUCAAAAAUAUUUGUCAGAGCAAAGCUGAAAUGUACUUAGAGGAUAAGUCAGUUAUCAAAGCAAAACCCUCGGCAGUUUGGAGGGGGCCUGUGGUUUCUCUUGCAUGUCCUCCUGCCUAGGCAGGGAUACAGCCUGUGGCACCACAGACCUGCUGUAAUGGGAACUGCUGUGCCAGGCUGCGAGUCACCAGCCCAGCUCAGCACAAGCUGGCCCUGCUCCUGUGCCAUCCAGUGCAUAGGCAGUGGGAGAGGGAGGAUUGAUGCCCUCAGGCACCACACAUGUGGCUUUUGACUCCAAAAUUUAGGAGGUGAGCUGAUGGGUAGGGCCAGUGCCCAGCUGUGUGCCAGGCAGCUGUGCCUGAGCAGAGGGGAUGGGGCUGUGGGGCAGGAUUUGCACCACUGACAGCUCUGGUCUUGUCCAGGGGAUCCAGAAUGAUGUUUCUGCAGGAGUGGAUGCUGUGUCAGCCCUGCAGGGCUGCAGCCAUUGAGGGAGGUGGCUGUGCCUGUGAUUAUUGAUCUCUCCUUGCUGCCAUCUGGAUGUCGAGAAGAGAGAGCCUUUCCCCUCAGCUGAGGUUUUGUUUGGGUUCUGUGGGAAAUGUGGGAAAAGAAGGACUGAGUGAGGCAGUUCUAGAUUACAUUAGUGCAGUCAACUCACUUUAUUGCCCAUUGGAAAUGGGCUAGGGUGUCUGUCCCCCAUCUAUG